RNAcentral lists this ribosomal RNA (1473 nucleotides) under Achromobacter xylosoxidans. RNAcentral describes it as "partial 23S ribosomal RNA". It matches the Rfam family "Bacterial large subunit ribosomal RNA", at positions 1 to 1516 of the family's 2925-position model. The record is from RNAcentral. Lineage: Bacteria; Pseudomonadati; Pseudomonadota; Betaproteobacteria; Burkholderiales; Alcaligenaceae.
GUUAUAGGAUCAAGCGACUAAGUGCAUAUGGUGGAUGCCUUGGCGAUCACAGGCGAUGAAGGACGUAGUAGCCUGCGAAAAGCUACGGGGAGCUGGCAAACAAGCUUUGAUCCGUAGAUGUCCGAAUGGGGAAACCCACCGCAGCAAUGCGGUAUCCCUGGCUGAAUACAUAGGCCAGUGGAAGCGAACCGGGUGAACUGAAACAUCUCAGUAGCUCGAGGAAAAGAAAUCAACCGAGAUUCCGAAAGUAGUGGCGAGCGAAAUCGGAAGAGCCUUUACGUUUUAGCACGCAAGAUAGUCGAACGGAAUGGAAAGUCCGGCCGUAGCAGGUGAUAGCCCUGUAGGCGAAAUCUUGUGUGUGGAACUAAGCGUAAGAAAAGUAGGGCGGGACACGUGAAAUCCUGUUUGAAGAUGGGGGGACCAUCCUCCAAGGCUAAAUACUCGUGAUCGACCGAUAGUGAACCAGUACCGUGAGGGAAAGGCGAAAAGAACCCCGGAAGGGGAGUGAAAUAGAUCCUGAAACCGUAUGCAUACAAACAGUAGGAGCCUCCUUGUGGGGUGACUGCGUACCUUUUGUAUAAUGGGUCAGCGACUUACAUUCAGUGGCAAGGUUAACCGAAUAGGGAAGCCGUAGCGAAAGCGAGUCCGAAUAGGGCGAUUCAGUCGCUGGGUGUAGACCCGAAACCAGAUGAUCUAUCCAUGGCCAGGUUGAAGGCACGGUAACACGUGCUGGAGGACCGAACCCACUAAUGUUGAAAAAUUAGGGGAUGAGCUGUGGAUAGGGGUGAAAGGCUAAACAAAUCUGGAAAUAGCUGGUUCUCUCCGAAAACUAUUUAGGUAGUGCCUCAAGUAUUACUGCGGGGGGUAGAGCACUGUUAUAGCUAGGGGGUCAUGGCGACUUACCAAACUAUGGCAAACUCCGAAUACCCGCAAGUACAGCUUGGGAGACAGAGCACCGGGUGCUAACGUCCGGACUCAAGAGGGAAACAACCCAGACCGCCAGCUAAGGUCCCAAAUUAUCGCUAAGUGGGAAACGAAGUGGGAAGGCAUAGACAGUCAGGAGGUUGGCUUAGAAGCAGCCAUCCUUUAAAGAAAGCGUAAUAGCUCACUGAUCGAGUCGUCCUGCGCGGAAGAUGUAACGGGGCUAAGCGAUAAACCGAAGCUGCGGGUGUGCACUUUGUGCACGCGGUAGGAGAGCGUUCUGUAAGCCUGCGAAGGUGGCUUGUAAAGGCUGCUGGAGGUAUCAGAAGUGCGAAUGCUGACAUGAGUAGCGAUAAAGGGGGUGAAAAGCCCCCUCGCCGUAAGUCCAAGGUUUCCUGCGCAACGUUCAUCGGCGCAGGGUGAGUCGGCCCCUAAGGCGAGGCAGAGAUGCGUAGCUGAUGGGAAGCUGGUUAAUAUUCCAGCACCGUCGUACAGUGCGAUGGGGGGACGGAUCGCGGAAGAUCAUCAGGGUGUUGGAUGUCCCUGUUGCUG